AUUGAACGCUGGCGGUAUGCUUAACACAUGCAAGUCGAACGGAAACGAUACUAGCUUGCUAGUAGGCGUCGAGUGGCGGACGGGUGAGUAACGCGUAGGAAUCUGCCUGAUAGUGGGGGAUAGCCCGAAGAAAUUCGGAUUAAUACCGCAUAAUCUAUUCGUAGUAAAGUGGGGGACUUUCGAGCCUCACGCUAUCAGAUGAGCCUGCGUAAGAUUAGCUUGUUGGUAGGGUAAAAGCCUACCAAGGCGACGAUCUUUAGCUGGUCUGAGAGGAUGAUCAGCCACAUCGGGACUGAGACACGGCCCGAACUCCUACGGGAGGCAGCAGUGGGGAAUAUUGGACAAUGGGGGCAACCCUGAUCCAGCAAUACCGCGUGUGUGAAGAAGGCCUGAGGGUUGUAAAGCACUUUCAAUUGUGAAGAAAAGUUAGCGGUUAAUAACCGUUAGCCUUGACGUUAACUUUAGAAGGAGCACCGGCUAACUCCGUGCCAGCAGCCGCGGUAAUACGGAGGGUGCAAGCGUUAAUCGGAAUUACUGGGCGUAAAGCGUGCGUAGGCGGUUUAUUAAGUCAGAUGUGAAAGCCCCGGGCUUAACCUGGGAACUGCAUUUGAAACUGGUCAACUAGAGUAUGGUAGAGGAAAGUGGAAUUUCUGGUGUAGCGGUGAAAUGCGUAGAUAUCAGAAGGAACAUCAAUGGCGAAGGCAGCUUUCUGGACCAAUACUGACGCUGAGGUACGAAAGCGUGGGUAGCAAACAGGAUUAGAUACCCUGGUAGUCCACGCCGUAAACGAUGAUAACUAGCCGUUGGGGGGAUUUACCCUUUAGUGGCGAAGCUAACGCGUUAAGUUAUCCGCCUGGGGAGUACGGCCGCAAGGUUAAAACUCAAAGGAAUUGACGGGGACCCGCACAAGCGGUGGAGCAUGUGGUUUAAUUCGAUGCAACGCGAAGAACCUUACCUGGUCUUGACAUCCUGCGAACUUUCUAGAAAUAGAUUGGUGCCUUCGGGAACGCAGUGACAGGUGCUGCAUGGCUGUCGUCAGCUCGUGUCGUGAGAUGUUGGGUUAAGUCCCGUAACGAGCGCAACCCCUAUCCUCAUUUGCCAGCACAUCAUGGUGGGAACUAUAAGGAGACUGCCGGUGAUAAACCGGAGGAAGGCGGGGACGACGUCAAGUCAUCAUGGCCCUUACGACCAGGGCUACACACGUGCUACAAUGGGAAGGACAAAGAGCCGCGAAGCCGCGAGGUGUAGCUAAUCUCAUAAACCUUUUCGUAGUCCGGAUUGGAGUCUGCAACUCGACUCCAUGAAGUCGGAAUCGCUAGUAAUCGUAGAUCAGAAUGCUACGGUGAAUACGUUCCCGGGUCU
This 1362-nucleotide ribosomal RNA is filed under the name uncultured bacterium. Its description in RNAcentral is "bacterial SSU rRNA". It matches the Rfam family "Bacterial small subunit ribosomal RNA", at positions 28 to 1381 of the family's 1533-position model. The record is from RNAcentral.